This 544-nucleotide ribosomal RNA is filed under the name uncultured Glomeromycotina. Its description in RNAcentral is "SSU rRNA". It matches the Rfam family "Eukaryotic small subunit ribosomal RNA", at positions 548 to 1098 of the family's 1831-position model. Lineage: Eukaryota; Fungi; Glomeromycota. The record is from RNAcentral.
UUGGAGGGCAAGUCUGGUGCCAGCAGCCGCGGUAAUUCCAGCUCCAAUAGCGUAUAUUAAAGUUGUUGCAGUUAAAAAGCUCGUAGUUGAAUUUCGGGGUUCUACCGUUGGUCGGGCUUUGUCUGUACUGGUGUGUAGAAUUUCUACCUUCUGGGGAACCAUCAUGCUAUUAAUUUAGCGUGGUGGGAAACCAGGACCUUUACCUUGAAAAAAUUAGUGUGUUCAAAGCAGGCUUAUGUCUGAAUACAUUAGCGUGGAAUAAUAGAAUAGGACGGUGGUCCUGUUUUGUUGGUUUCUGAAUCACCGUAAUGAUUAAUAGGGAUAGUUGGGGGCAUUGGUAUUCAAUUGUCAGAGGUGAAAUUCUUGGAUUUAUUGAAGACUAACUUCUGCGAAAGCAUUUGCCAAGGAUGUUUUCAUUAAUCAAGAACGAAAGUUAGGGGAUCGAAGACGAUCAGAUACCGUCGUAGUCUUAACCAUAAACUAUGCCGACUAGGGAUCGGACGAUGUUAAUUUUUCUUGACUCGUUCGGCGCCUUACGGGAAAC